GUAUAUAGAUUUAAUGAUGUUUGUCAAAUCAAGAAUCUCCUCAAAUUUCAAGUGACAGAAGAAAUUUAUCUAUGAAAUGAUAUAGUUUCUCUUCUUUCCAUUUAUAUAUAUAAAAAAAGAAACUAAUCAGUUAGAAAUACAUUCUUCCGACAGCUCUUAUAUCCACCGAGUCAACUAGAUGGUGCUUGUUGCUCAAAUUUUUUGUUUGUGCUUUAAAAUUUAGAGUGUGAACCAUUAACAACGAUCGCUUCAAGCAAAAGAGCUAGCUAGUUCAACGGAAUUCAUGGGAUAUUUGACACCAUUGCAGCAUGCACCAUGCACCAUGCACCAUCAUUCCAAUAUACAUGAAACCCAAAUCUCUCUAGUGUGUUUGAUCAUGCACCAAAUAGAACUUAGUCGGGAAUUGAUUCCUGAAGAUCAUGAAUCAUGUUUUCCAUGUAAAAGAGAAAGGAAAAGGUGGAAAGAUGAUCGAUGGCCAUAAGAACAAAGCGAUGCCUAUGAGUAAAUUGAAGUCGUGAACGGGGACAGCUUUAGCAGAGGAGCGAAAAAGGUUGGCGAUUACUAAUUUGAUUUACAAGAAAGGGAAAAACCAAGGCCCCGAUUAGGAAAAAACUGGGACCCUCAAAGGGACAAGUGUUCGAUGUGUGACGUACGGAAAGGGACCAGUUGUGAUAGAAGGGACCAGUUGUGAUAGAGAGGGGCUCUCUACUCAGAAAAAGAUCUGGAGUGCAAAUUAAGGCAACAGGCCAAAAGCAAUUCACUGUACUACGUCAUCAAUCCAGACAACUUUUUUUUUCUUACAGAGAGGCGGUAAGGCCUCUCUCUUCUAAAUGGAAAUGAAACUCUGCUUUGAGCUUCUGGUGAAAUGUUGAUUUCAUAGUUAAUGAGAAAGUGUGCUCUGUUGAGAAAGCCUUGCCUUCUCUUUCUUCCUGUUUUUUGACAUGAAUCUUUUACCCUGCAUUCUACAAAGGUUAGUGGGCUAAAAAUGAAACUGCCAAUGUCUGUAGUCUAUAGAUUCCAUUAACAAAUAUUUGUUCACAUUUUUUACGAUUCAGCACCAAACUCAAUUCCAUUAACAAAUGCAACAACCGG
Molecule: long non-coding RNA, 1092 nt
Filed under: Durio zibethinus
Lineage: Eukaryota; Viridiplantae; Streptophyta; Magnoliopsida; Malvales; Malvaceae
Description: long non-coding RNA (DZIB_LNC002355)
Source: RNAcentral